GACGAACGCUGGCGGCGUGCUUAACACAUGCAAGUCGAGCGGUAAGGCCCUUUCGGGGGUACACGAGCGGCGAACGGGUGGGUAACACGUGGGUGACCUGCCCUCAGCUCUGGGAUAAGCCUGGGAAACCGGGUCUAAUACCGGAUAUGACUCCAUGACGCAUGUUGUGGGGUGGAAAGCCUUGUGCGGCUGAGGAUGGGCCCGCGGCCUAUCAGCUUGUUGGUGGGGUGANGGCCCACCAAGGCGACGACGGGUAGCCGGCCUGAGAGGGCGACCGGCCACACUGGGACUGAGACACGGCCCAGACUCCUACGGGAGGCAGCAGUGGGGAAUCUUGCGCAAUGGGCGAAAGCCUGACGCAGCGACGCCGCGUGAGGGAUGACGGCCU
RNAcentral lists this ribosomal RNA (388 nucleotides) under uncultured bacterium. RNAcentral's name for it is "bacterial SSU rRNA". It matches the Rfam family "Bacterial small subunit ribosomal RNA", at positions 28 to 417 of the family's 1533-position model. The record is from RNAcentral.